UGAUUUAUUUUUCUGAUUAUGUUUGAAGUUUGCAAAAUGUUUUUCUAUUUUCUUUCGCAUUGAUUCCAGGCGGUAUUUGUGAGUGAUCACUACCCAAUAGAAUUAGAAUUGUACUCACAAGGACUCUACAAAGCCUUACAGUCCAUCCAAGAGACCACAGAGUAUAAGUUCUACUCACAGUCCCCUCCCUCCCUUACAAACAAAGASAUAUACAGAAUUCGCUAUAAAUCCAAUCCACUUUUAUCCAAAGGAUUUGUAGARGAAACACUGAAGUCUUACUCAGGAGCCAUUGCAGUUAUUACCAACAAAAAGAAAGUGACAACAUCCCAAGAUGCUUUGCAAGCAUUUGCAUUGAUAUAUUCGCAUUGGGCAAGACUGAUCACCAAAGACCAAGUCGACUUGGCCUCGCACAAAGUUGAAGUUGAUUAUAAAAAGAAAUCUUUUCAAAAUGCUUAUGUCAAGCUUGUUUGUAGAAAAAUACCAUUGCCUGUUGAGUGCUUGGUAGCAAUGGAAAUAUAAAAAAAUGUGAAAAUCAA
Exaiptasia diaphana is the source of this 536-nucleotide long non-coding RNA. RefSeq lists it as uncharacterized. Lineage: Eukaryota; Metazoa; Cnidaria; Anthozoa; Actiniaria; Aiptasiidae. The transcript is spliced from 2 exons. The record is from RefSeq and is a predicted model, not a curated record.